This 253-nucleotide ribosomal RNA is filed under the name uncultured bacterium. RNAcentral describes it as "partial 16S ribosomal RNA". It matches the Rfam family "Bacterial small subunit ribosomal RNA", at positions 524 to 776 of the family's 1533-position model. The record is from RNAcentral.
UACGUAGGUGGCAAGCGUUGUCCGGAUUUACUGGGCGUAAAGAGCGCGCAGGCGGUCGUUCAAGUCGCGUGUGAAAGCCCCCGGCUCAACUGGGGAGGGUCACGCGAUACUGAUCGACUCGAAGGCAGGAGAGGGUAGUGGAAUUCCCGGUGUAGUGGUGAAAUGCGUAGAGAUGUGGAGGAACACCGAUGGCGAAGGCAGCCCCCUGGGCUGAGAUUGACGCUCAGGCACGAAAGCGUGGGGAGCAAACAGG